Molecule: small nucleolar RNA, 222 nt
Organism: Macadamia integrifolia
Lineage: Eukaryota; Viridiplantae; Streptophyta; Magnoliopsida; Proteales; Proteaceae
Product: small nucleolar RNA U3
Exons: 1
Source: RefSeq, a predicted model, not a curated record
AUGAUCUUACUUGAACAGGAUCUGUUCUAUAGGCUUGGACUUCUGUAUCCUUGAGUUCUAAUGAGACAGGAACUAAAGUGUGGUUGAUGAGGCAAAGCCCGUGUGAUCAGAGCUUGAUUAACAGUUCUGUUGAGUUUGGCUAAAAAACCAUCAAGCAGUAGUGGAUCGUUCCCAUGGUUGGGAUUCCAAUCCUGGGGUGGUCGCACGGUUGUCUGACAGACU